Molecule: ribosomal RNA, 253 nt
Filed under: uncultured bacterium
Lineage: Bacteria
Description: partial 16S ribosomal RNA
Rfam family: Bacterial small subunit ribosomal RNA
Source: RNAcentral
UACGUAGGGUGCAAGCGUUGUCCGGAAUUAUUGGGCGUAAAGAGCUCGUAGGCGGUCUGUCGCGUCGGCUGUGAAAACCCGAGGCUCAACCUCGGGCCUGCAGUCGAUACGGGCAAACUAGAGUACUGCAGGGGAGACUGGAAUUCCUGGUGUAGCGGUGAAAUGCGCAGAUAUCAGGAGGAACACCGGUGGCGAAGGCGGGUCUCUGGGCAGUAACUGACGCUGAGGUACGAAAGCGUGGGGAGCGAACAGG